GACGAACGCUGGCGGCGUGCCUAAUACAUGCAAGUAGAACGCUGAAGAGAGGAGCUUGCUCUUCUUGGAUGAGUUGCGAACGGGUGAGUAACGCGUAGGUAACCUGCCUGGUAGCGGGGGAUAACUAUUGGAAACGAUAGCUAAUACCGCAUAAAAUGGAUUAUCGCAUGAUAAUCCAUUGAAAGGUGCAAAUGCAUCACUACCAGAUGGACCUGCGUUGUAUUAGCUAGUCGGUGGGGUAACGGCUCACCAAGGCGACGAUACAUAGCCGACCUGAGAGGGUGAUCGGCCACACUGGGACUGAGACACGGCCCAGACUCCUACGGGAGGCAGCAGUAGGGAAUCUUCGGCAAUGGACGGAAGUCUGACCGAGCAACGCCGCGUGAGUGAAGAAGGUUUUCGGAUCGUAAAGCUCUGUUGUAAGAGAAGAACGAGUGUGAGAGUGGAAAGUUCACACUGUGACGGUAUCUUACCAGAAAGGGACGGCUAACUACGUG
This 497-nucleotide ribosomal RNA is filed under the name uncultured bacterium. Its description in RNAcentral is "partial 16S ribosomal RNA". It matches the Rfam family "Bacterial small subunit ribosomal RNA", at positions 28 to 507 of the family's 1533-position model. The record is from RNAcentral.